Molecule: ribosomal RNA, 430 nt
Filed under: uncultured bacterium
Lineage: Bacteria
Description: partial 16S ribosomal RNA
Rfam family: Bacterial small subunit ribosomal RNA
Source: RNAcentral
CCUACGGGAGGCUGCAGUCGCGAAUUUUUCACAAUGGGCGCAAGCCUGAUGAAGCCACGCCGUGUGCGGGAUGAAGGUCUCUGAGUUGUAAACCGCUGUCAAGUGGAGGGCUGCCGCUAAAGGAAGCCCCGGCAAAACAUGUGCCAGCAGCCGCGGUAAUACAUGUGGGGCAAGCGUUGUUCGGAAUUACUGUGCAUAAAGGGUGCGUAGGUGGCUUGUUAAGUCAGGGGUGAAAUCCCACGGCCCAACCGUGGAACUGCCUUUGAUACUGGCGAGCUUGAGUGCGUGAGGGGUAACCGGAACGAGUAGUGUAGCGGUGAAAUGCGUAGAUAUUACUCGGAAGGCCAAAGGCGAAGGCAGGUUACUGGUACGCACUGACACUGAGGCACGAAAGCGUGGGGAGCAAACAGGAUUAGAUACCCUUGUAGUC